AGAUUCUGUGUCCCCCUUUCUCUUGCCCCACCCCGGCUUGUCCUCUCUCUCUUUCAAAAAUGAAUAAACAUUAAAAAAAAAAGAAGUAGAAAUUAACUUGAGAGGGGGAGAUUCUUUCACAACGUGUACAUAUAUCGAAUAAUUACAUCAUACUCCUUAAACAUCUUACAAUUUUGUUUGUCAAUUAUAUCUCAAUAAAUACUAAAAAGGAAAUAGAAUAAGGAAGAAAAAGAAGUAGAAAUUGUAAGACUGGAAAAGAAGAAACAGAAUGUCAUUAUUUCCAGAUGAUAUGAUUAUCUACAUAGAAAAGCCGAACCGAAGUAUCUACAGAUAAAUUAUUAGAAUUAAGGAAAGACUUUAACAAGUUACCUGGAUAUGAGAUCAAUAUACAAAAGCAAUUUGCAUUUCUAAAAAUCAUUAACAACCAAUGGAAAAAGUAAUUUUUAAAAAUGCCAUUUUGUAGAGGUAUUAAAAAUAUGUAGACUGCUAAGGAAUAAAUCUAACAAAAACUGGAACCCCUUUAUGGGGAAUAAUAAAACUUCAGUAAAAGGUAUGAAAUAGGACCUAAAUAAUGGGAGUUACAUACCAUGCUUCUGGAUAGAAAGACUCAAGAGGUAAAGAUGUCAAACAACCUCAAAUCAAUCUAUACGAUAAAUAUGGAUUCCAAUAUAAAUCCCAACAGAUUUUUUUUACAGGGAACUCAAUAAAAGCCUACUAAAAUCUGUAUGGAAGAAGGCAGGG
Herpailurus yagouaroundi (jaguarundi) is the source of this 741-nucleotide long non-coding RNA. RefSeq lists it as uncharacterized. The transcript has 2 exons. The record is from RefSeq and is a predicted model, not a curated record. NCBI's taxonomy places the organism in Eukaryota, Metazoa, Chordata, Mammalia, Carnivora, Felidae.